This 253-nucleotide ribosomal RNA is filed under the name uncultured bacterium. RNAcentral's name for it is "partial 16S ribosomal RNA". It matches the Rfam family "Bacterial small subunit ribosomal RNA", at positions 524 to 776 of the family's 1533-position model. The record is from RNAcentral.
UACGUAGGGGGCAAGCGUUGUCCGGAUUUAUUGGGCGUAAAGCGCUCGCAGGGGGUCCGCUGCGUCGUGCGUGAAAGACCCCGGCUCAACUGGGGGAUGUCGUGCGAUACGGGCGGACUGGAGGCCAGUAGGGGGAUGCGGAAUUCCGGGUGUAGUGGUGGAAUGCGUAGAGAUCCGGAGGAACACCAGCGGCGAAAGCACUCUGCUGGGCCGACACUGACACUGAGAGACGAAAGCUAGGGGAGCGAAUGGG